GGCUGCCACUGUGUCUCAGACUGUCUCUUUUACUAGUACAGUGUCCUUCAGUGUCUUGGAUACACAGGUAAACUUCAAAGGUAUUCUGGUUGGGGACAAAAAUUUAACCAAGAGAAACUUCAGGGCAUUCUCUCAGAGAAGGUCAACAUGACAAGAACGUGACAGUUGUUGAACCGUGUAAAUGUUGUGGCUUUGUUCUAGCUGGAAAGAAACUGCAGGCAAGGCUGAUAGAAUCUUGUGUAGACACAUUUUAAAAGGUAGUUACUACCCAAUAAUAGCAGCAGGUUUAAUGUGCUUUUUUUUUAAAAGGUGUAUUAGCUGUUCUUGAUCAAACUUGUAACAACCUGAGGCUACUGUUGUUAAGCAGGAGCCAGGUCAGCUUGUGCAUUAUGUUCUUUGUUCUUUCUGCCCCUUGCACAAGCGUAGAAAUAGGUUCAAAUAUAGGCAUCCAGCACUGGGAAACAGCUUCUGGUAAAAGCAGAGCUGAAAAUGAGGGAACAGUCCAAGUUAUCACAAAAAUCUCAUUUUGCUGGUGCUGGCCCUGGUGCUGGUUAAUAUGUGACUAGCAGGAGAAUUAAGAGCCUUUUGAAGAGAAGAAAGUAACACAAUUGCUAUGAUCCUUCAUAAUGGGCAUAGAUAUGUUUUACAUAGUUAUGUAUGACUUGUGCUUGCAUAUAUGCUAACUUUUCAUGUCAUAGAUAUGACUGCCUGUAGUAACUCCUCAAAGCCCUAAUCUGGACUAUGUAGUAAGCUUUUUAUAGCACAGGUUUCUCUCAGUUACUUUCUAAUCUUAGUUUGGCCUUUUGCCCUUAAAAAUUAUGUUAUUUCAUUUCAGAUCAAAUAUCAGUCAGUGUUAAGUCUUAACUGUAUGAAAAAGGUAGAGCUGAAAAUUCCCACCAGUGCUCCCGAAGGUACUGGCUAGAACAUGUAACAGAAACAGUGGAAAUAAUUAACCAGAACUACCCACACUAGGCUCCAAGGUACACAGAAUUGCACUCAUUGUUCUGUUCUCUUGGUAUGAGCUGCCAUGCCUGCUUUCCUUGCACUGAUAGUUCUCUAGGCUUGGAGAUUCAAUUACUCUGAUUCCUUGGCCUGAAUCCUACUUCUAAUGGAAAUGCUUUUUGUGAAGCACUUCCCAGAGACAGCUUCUCAGUGUUGUUAAAAUGGAAACAGCCUGGAUGCACAAGUGAGAGUCUGCACAAAAAAUGCAGCAGUAGAAUUAAGAACUCUGGUUUACAUGGAAUCCUGACUGCAUAAUUUGAAAAAUAAUAUCCCUGGUUUUGGCCAGUGGCUGCAACAGUUUAUUCUUACAAUAAGUAUACUAAUAUAAUUAACACACCAUUUAGAGUGUAGCAGUGUUCUGAUGUUCACUGUCUUCUCUGCUGAUGUUCUUAUAAUACUUUAAAAAAUCACCUGUUGAAGUAACUUUUAAUAAAGUUUGUGGAAGUUUGAUACUGUUACUUCACAUUUGACUUCCUUGGGGGCAGAGUACCUGUUGGGCUCUAGCAGCCUAAAGAGCUGCACGGUGAGGAGGCAACUGGUUGUUGUUAGUGCUUACAUCCCUAAUCUUGCUUUCUGGGUAUCCUCACACUCUGAAACUUCUGCCUAUUGUAAAAUGUGGGUUGCCUAUCUGUGUACUACCAAAAUAAAUACUGUAAUUCUGCCUAAA
This is a long non-coding RNA of Parus major (Great Tit), 1669 nucleotides long. RefSeq lists it as uncharacterized. Lineage: Eukaryota; Metazoa; Chordata; Aves; Passeriformes; Paridae. The record is from RefSeq and is a predicted model, not a curated record. The transcript is spliced from 2 exons.